This 292-nucleotide ribosomal RNA is filed under the name uncultured bacterium. RNAcentral's name for it is "partial 16S ribosomal RNA". It matches the Rfam family "Bacterial small subunit ribosomal RNA", at positions 335 to 642 of the family's 1533-position model. The record is from RNAcentral.
CUUCCUACGGGAGGCAGCAGUGGGGAAUAUUGGGCAAUGGACGCAAGUCUGACCCAGCAACGCCGCGUGAAGGAAGAAGGCUUUCGGGUUGUAAACUUCUUUUAAGGGGGAAGAGCAGAAGACGGUACCCCUUGAAUAAGCCACGGCUAACUACGUGCCAGCAGCCGCGGUAAUACGUAGGUGGCAAGCGUUGUCCGGAUUUACUGGGUGUAAAGGGCGUGCAGCCGGAGAGACAAGUCAGAUGUGAAAUCCACGGGCUAAACCCGUGAACUGCAUUUGAAACUGUCAGUCU